CCUUCUCUCCAACUCAAGACCUUGUGUGUGUGUUUUUUUUUUUUAAUACUUUGGUCAAAAUUUAAAUUUAGUUAUUCUCUUCCUCCUUCGUUGCUUGUUCUCUCCAUUUGCUUUCUCUUUUUUUAAUACUUUUGUUCAAACCUAGGCCAUGUUUGGCACACAGAAAGGAAAACAAGGGAAAGGAAUAUCUUAUUCCUUUCCGCGUUUGGCAAUAGAAAAAAUUGGGGAAAGGAAAAUUUAUUUUCCCCCAUUUUCCCUUCUUAAUCCCUCCACCUAACCCUUCUCUCUCAUCUUUAUUCCCUUCUUUGUUCCUUCUCUUUCCUAACACCUACUCUUCAUCUUCCUUCUUCUCCUCUCCCCUCAUUAGAACCCUUCCUCUGUCGGCCACCAUUUGAUCCCUCUUCACGUUCAUUCCUUCUCCCUUUUCAACCGUUUUUCUUACCAUAUUUUGUUUUUCCAUUUUUUUCGUCUCGUUAAUCACCAAUUUCUCCACUAGGUUUCAUUUGGCAGCCAAUGUACUAUCACUGUUUGCUUCUAAACCCAUUUGGUCGUCGAUCAAUCUCCUUGUUUAAACCUCUAUUCGACCAUGAACUUGGAAAGGGUACAUAUUCCUUGAAUUUUUUUUGUUUCUCUUUUGAUUCGUUCAUGGCUUAUCUAUUUAGUUUGCCACUCGGAUCUAUUACGCAUCCUUCGUCUAACACCUUGCCACUCGAAUCUAUUACGAUGAGUUGUGGCCUUGGCGGAUUCAAUUCGAACAUGGUAGGGUAUUGAGUGCACGCGAGUACGUAGCGAGAUAUAUCUUGAGGUACUAAGGUAUUCACGUCGUCACGCACAAAAGCAGGUUCCCACUUCAUAUUAGGUGGAAAAUAGACCCACAAGAAAUCAUCGAUGUGGUAUAUGCCUUCAUAAUCACCUAACGACAUAUGCUCUUGAUAUUAGAAGCACUGUUGAAUGACCACAAGCGGAUAACUCACGUACCAGCCAACGCAAGACAUAGGAUUAGGGACCUAGCCUACUUUCGCAUGAUACAUACGUCUGACCUUGUGUAUCGGUAAAGUACACAGAUGGACAGACGUUGUUUUGUAAUCUUUUGCCAUUUACUACGAACAAGAGUUGGCCUAGAGUCGAUGGAACUCGUUGACAUUAAGGAGAUGGUCGCCAUCUUCCUUCAUGUGUUGAUGCACGAUGUGAAAAACUGACAGAUUCAAAGGGAGUUUAUAAGGUCUGGUGAGACAGUUUCUCGACAUUCCAACAUUGUCUUGAUGGUUGUUCUUCAUCUGCAUGACGAGUUAUUGGCCACACCACAGCCUAUAACGAGUACAUGCAUAGAUUUGAGGUGGUGGUCUUUCGAGGUUAAGACUAAACAACUUACCGUUUCUUUUUAAAUUUUCUAUUGGAACUUGUCAAACCUAAAAAACUUUGUUCGAUAUUCGUUGUAGAAUUUUCUAAGGGCAUUAGACGACAGGUACAUCAAAGUUAACGUGUCUGCAGCUGAUUCAUUAAGAUAUCGAACAUGAAAGGACGAAGCGACAAUGAAUGUCCUCGGCGUAUACGAUACGAAGGAGGACUUCAUUUUCGUCUUAGCCGGCUAGGAAGGAUCUACAGUAGACUCACGUGUCCUACGACAUGUAAUUUCCAGACCUAACGAUCUGAAGGUUCCAAAGGAUGAGAUCGGUUUUACUACCUGUGCGACACGGGAUACCCAAUGCAGAAAGUUUUCUAACACCGUAUAGGGGGUAACAUUAUCAUCUACAGAAGUGGCAUGGUGUUGGGAAUGCUCCAACAACACUGAAGGAGUUCUUCAACAUGAAACAUUCUUCUGCAUAGAAUGUGAUUGAAAGAGCGCUAAGCCUGUUGAAGGGACGUUGGGCAAUACUAUGUGAAAAAUCCCACUACUCGGUUCAAGUCCAAUGUCGGACUAUUAUGACUUGUUGUUUCCUCCAUAAUUUAAUAAAUCGUAAGAUGACGAACUCCGACAUAUUGGAUGACGAAGAUAUGGGUGACUAAACACACGCAACUACUAGUGGUGACGACAUCACAAACAUUGAGGCCUCAAACAAAUGGACUCAAUGGCGGGAUGCACUUGCUUCAUCGAUGUUCAACGAAUGGCAGUUGUAUAACGGGAACCCAAAGCAGUCCUAGCACAGGUAGAGGAGGCAUGCCUAGUAGACUACCUCGUGGACUUGGUGAACACGGGGGGUGGAGGUCGGACAAAGGGACCUACCGCCCGAGUUAUUUAGCACAACUGAUUAGGAUGUUAAGAGAAAGAAUGCUCGAUUGCGGUUUGACAACCACCGUCAUCGAAAGUCGAAUAUAACUGUUGAAAAAGAUGUUUCAGGCCAUUACCAAGAUAAGGGGCCUAGCAGGCAGUGGCUUCGGCUGGAAUGAUGACGUCAAGUGCAUCAUCGCCGAGAGAGACGUGUUAGACAAUUGGAUCCGGACACAUCCUGUAGCAAAAGGACUCCUGAACAAGCCCUUCCUACAUUACGACAAGUUAUCAUACGUGUUUGAGAAAAGACCCUGCAACGAGGGCCCGUGUGGAGACGUUCACAGACAUCGGGUCUAAUGUGCCAGGACUGCUCCCCGUGGAGGAUGGCCUGGAGACGGAGUUCCUGGCUAUGUGCAACCCGAGGAUGAACAUGGUACCGAAUGACAUCAUGGUCGAUCGAUCUGGUCAGUCGAGCGACGCUAGGCCAGGCUCUAGCAAUCAGGAAAGGAAGGGUGACAUGCAGCCAUUUGAGAGUGACGACCUGAUUCGGGAUUGCAUGGGCACUGCGAAUGAUUAGCUUAAGACCAUUGCAGAAUGGCCUAAUAAAGCUAUCAACUGGAAAGACGCAAUGGUAUUGGAGGUUAUUACGUAUAUGGAGACUCUCCCGGGCCUUAGUAUUGAGGACAUCAGUAAAUGAGUGAUGAUAGUAACGGAAAAGGUGUCGCUAACGAGAAGCUUCAUCAGGAUGCCCUAUUCGAUGAAGGUCGCUUACUGUAAGGUCCUCCUCUGUGCAAGACGUUUAUUCUUUUUCUCUUUGUCGGAAUAAUGUAUUUGUUUUACUUAUUUGCUUGACCAUUUUCUAUGUUGUAAUGGACGUUAACUAUUUAUGACAGUUUCUUUCUCGAUGUUACAUGAAACGUAAAAAAUUAAUUUAUGCA
This is a long non-coding RNA of Cucumis melo (muskmelon), 3147 nucleotides long. RefSeq lists it as uncharacterized. Lineage: Eukaryota; Viridiplantae; Streptophyta; Magnoliopsida; Cucurbitales; Cucurbitaceae. The record is from RefSeq and is a predicted model, not a curated record. The transcript has 6 exons.